This 404-nucleotide unclassified non-coding RNA is filed under the name soil metagenome. RNAcentral's name for it is "partial contains 5.8S ribosomal RNA, internal transcribed spacer 2, and large subunit ribosomal RNA". The stretch from base 1 to 122 matches the Rfam family "5.8S ribosomal RNA", at positions 35 to 154 of the family's 154-position model. The record is from RNAcentral.
GAUGAAGAACGUAGCAAAAUGCGAUACUUGGUGUGAAUUGCAGAAUCCCGUGAACCAUCGAGUUUUUGAACGCAAGUUGCGCCCGAAGCCUUUUGGCCGAGGGCACGUCUGCCUGGGCGUCACGCAUCGCGUCGCCCCCCACAAUUCUCCGUAAAGGGAACAUGUGUUUUGGGGGUGGAUAUUGGUCUCCCGUGCUCAUGGCGUGGUUGGCCGAAAUAGGAGUCCUUUCGAUGGACGCACGAACUAGUGGUGGUCGUAAAAACCCUCGUCUUUUGUUUCGUGCUGUUGCUCGCAAGGUAAACUCUUUAAAAACCCCAAUGUGUCGUCUCUUGACGACGCUUCGACCGCGACCCCAGGUCAGGCGGGACUACCCGCUGAGUUUAAGCAUAUCAAUAAGCGGAGGA